This 253-nucleotide ribosomal RNA is filed under the name uncultured bacterium. RNAcentral describes it as "partial 16S ribosomal RNA". It matches the Rfam family "Bacterial small subunit ribosomal RNA", at positions 524 to 776 of the family's 1533-position model. The record is from RNAcentral.
GACGAACCGAGCGAACGUUGUUCGGAAUCACUGGGCUUAAAGGGCGCGUAGGCGGGCGGCCGCGUCCGGGGUGAAAUCCUCCCGCUUCACGGGAGGACGGCCUCGGAUACGGGCGGCCUCGAGGGGGGUAGGGGCGUGCGGAACUGUGGGUGGAGCGGUGAAAUGCGUUGAGAUCCACAGGAACUCCGGUGGCGAAGGCGGCACGCUGGACCCCACCUGACGCUGAGGCGCGAAAGCCAGGGGAGCGAACGGG